CCGACACGACCGUACCGCAAACCGACACUGGUGCGCGAGAUGAGUAUUCUCAGGCGCUUGAGAGAACUCGGGAGAAGGAACUCGGCAAAUUGACACCGUAACUUCGGAAGAAGGUGUGCCUUUAGUAGGUGAAGUCCCUCGCGGAUGGAGCCCAAUGAGGUUGCAAAGAAUCGGUGGCUGCGACUGUUUAAUAAAAACACAGCACUCUGCAAACACGAAAGUGGACGUAUAGGGUGUGACGCCUGCCCGGUGCUGGAAGAUUAAGUGAUGGGGUGCAAGCUCUUGAUCGAAGUCCCAGUAAACGGCGGCCGUAACCAUAACGUCCUAAGGUAGCGAAAUUCCUUGUCGGGUAAGUUCCGACCUGCACGAAUGGCGUAACGAUGGCCACACUGUCUCCUCCCGAGACUCAGCGAAGUUGAAAUGUUUGUGAUGAUGCAAUCUCCCCGCGGAAAGACGGAAAGACCCCAUGAACCUUUACUGUAGCUUUGUAUUGGACUUUGAGCGGAUCUGUGUAGGAUAGGUGGGAGGCUUUGAAGCCGGGUCGCUAGAUCUGGUGGAGCCAACGUUGAAAUACCACCCUGGUGCGUUUGAGGUUCUAACCUAGGCCCGUUAUCCGGGCCGGGGACAGUGCAUGGUAGGCAGUUUGACUGGGGCGGUCUCCUCCCAAAGCGUAACGGAGGAGUUCGAAGGUACGCUAGUUACGGUCGGACAUCGUGACGAUAGUGCAAUGGCAUAAGCGUGCUUAACUGCGAGACUGACAAGUCGAGCAGAUGCGAAAGCAGGACAUAGUGAUCCGGUGGUUCUGUAUGGAAGGGCCAUCGCUCAACGGAUAAAAGGUACUCUGGGGAUAACAGGCUGAUACCGCCCAAGAGUUCAUAUCGACGGCGGUGUUUGGCACCUCGAUGUCGGCUCAUCUCAUCCUGGGGCUGUAGCCGGUCCCAAGGGUAUGGCUGUUCGCCAUUUAAAGAGGUACGUGAGCUGGGUUUAAAACGUCGUGAGACAGUUUGGUCCCUAUCUUCCGUGGGCGCUGCAGAUUUGAGGAAGCCUGCUCCUAGUACGAGAGGACCGGAGUGGACGCACCUCUGGUGUACCUGUUGUCACGCCAGUGGCAUUGCAGGGUAGCUAAGUGCGGAAGAGAUAACCGCUGAAAGCAUCUAAGCGGGAAACUCGUUUCAAGAUGAGAUCUGCCGGGGCCUUGAGCCCCCUGAAGAGUCGUUCUAGACCAGGACGUUGAUAGGUCAGGUGUGGAAGCGCAGUAAUGCGUUAAGCUAACUGAUACUAAUUGCUCGUGCGGCUUGACC
Molecule: ribosomal RNA, 1301 nt
Filed under: metagenome
Description: bacterial LSU rRNA
Rfam family: Bacterial large subunit ribosomal RNA
Source: RNAcentral